AUUGAACGCUGGCGGCAUGCCUAACACAUGCAAGUCGAACGGUAACAGGCAGCAAGGUGCUGGCGUGAGGCGAGGGGGGGUGAAUUACGUCGAGAAGUCCCCAUGGGAGGGGGAGAUCAAGUCCGAAGAGUAGCGCUAAUCGCACACGAGCCCUGGGUGAGAGAGGGGGGGAGCAACGGAUCGCACGCUUUCAGAUGCCCAUAGGUCGGAUUAGGUAGUUGGGGGGGUAAAGGCACACCAAGGCCACGAUCUGUAGCUGGUCUGAGAGGAUGAACAGCCACACUGGAACUGAGACACGGCCCAGACUCCUACGGGAGGCAGCAGUGGGGAAUAUUGGACAAUGGGCGCAAGCCUGAUCCAGCCAUGCCGCGUGCAUGAAGAAGGUCUUCGGGUUGUAAGGUGCUUUAGUAUGGGAGGAAGCGCAGCAAGUUAAUACCCUGCUCUAUUGACGUUACCAUAAGAAUAAGCACCGGCUAACUACGUG
Molecule: ribosomal RNA, 484 nt
Filed under: uncultured bacterium
Lineage: Bacteria
Description: partial 16S ribosomal RNA
Rfam family: Bacterial small subunit ribosomal RNA
Source: RNAcentral